RNAcentral lists this unclassified non-coding RNA (376 nucleotides) under soil metagenome. Its description in RNAcentral is "partial contains 5.8S ribosomal RNA, internal transcribed spacer 2, and large subunit ribosomal RNA". The stretch from base 1 to 120 matches the Rfam family "5.8S ribosomal RNA", at positions 35 to 154 of the family's 154-position model. The record is from RNAcentral.
GAUGAAGAACGCAGCGAAAUGCGAUAAGUAAUGUGAAUUGCAGAAUUCAGUGAAUCAUCGAAUCUUUGAACGCAUCUUGCGCUCCUUGGUAUUCUGAGGAGCAUGCCUGAUUGAGUGUCAUUAAAUUCUCAACUACACUGACUUUGAAUUGGUGUGGCUUGGAUUUGGGGGGAAAAUUGUUGUGGGCUUUUUGUAUAGUCUGCUCCCCUGAAAUUGAUUAGCGGUACCUUUGUGGAACUGUCUACAGGUGUGAUAAUUAUCUACAUCUUAGACAUCUGCUGGAAUGCUGCUUUCUAAACCUUACUUGUAUUGACAAUCUUGACCUCAAAUCAGGUAGGACUACCCGCUGAACUUAAGCAUAUCAAUAAGCGGAGGA